This 251-nucleotide long non-coding RNA is filed under the name Phoenix dactylifera (date palm). Its description in RNAcentral is "long non-coding RNA (PDAC_LNC013670)". Lineage: Eukaryota; Viridiplantae; Streptophyta; Magnoliopsida; Arecales; Arecaceae. The record is from RNAcentral.
AAAAAAAAAAAUAAGGGUGGCAGCUGUUGUAACUUAUGCUUGUGCUAAGUUCAAAUAAGAGCCCGUAGUUAAAGUCAUCCAUUAACUUUCAGAAAUUGAGUUCAUGUCGUUGGAACAUCCAUGCAUCAAACUUAAUCUUAGCAAUACUUGGUUGGCUGGUGACUUAUUCAAGCCAUAAAGGUCAGACGGAAUUUAAUCAAGGGACUCAGAGAUCUACCAAACUUUCCUUUGUAUUUAAUACAACCCCACUC